Molecule: non-coding RNA, 72 nt
Organism: Phrynosoma platyrhinos (Desert horned lizard)
Lineage: Eukaryota; Metazoa; Chordata; Lepidosauria; Squamata; Phrynosomatidae
Source: the annotation of a GenBank genome assembly
GCCAGCGUGGCAUAGUGGUUUGAGCACAAGACUUGAACUCUGAAGAUCAGGGUUCAGUUCUCAGCUUAGCCA